Molecule: ribosomal RNA, 640 nt
Filed under: Pseudomonas nitroreducens
Lineage: Bacteria; Pseudomonadati; Pseudomonadota; Gammaproteobacteria; Pseudomonadales; Pseudomonadaceae
Description: bacterial SSU rRNA
Rfam family: Bacterial small subunit ribosomal RNA
Source: RNAcentral
GGCCUGGUAGUGGGGGACAACGUUUCGAAUGGAACGCUAAUACCGCAUACGUCCUACGGGAGAAAGCAGGGGACCUUCGGGCCUUGCGCUAUCAGAUGAGCCUAGGUCGGAUUAGCUAGUUGGUGGGGUAAAGGCCUACCAAGGCGACGAUCCGUAACUGGUCUGAGAGGAUGAUCAGUCACACUGGAACUGAGACACGGUCCAGACUCCUACGGGAGGCAGCAGUGGGGAAUAUUGGACAAUGGGCGAAAGCCUGAUCCAGCCAUGCCGCGUGUGUGAAGAAGGUCUUCGGAUUGUAAAGCACUUUAAGUUGGGAGGAAGGGCAGUAAGUUAAUACCUUGCUGUUUUGACGUUACCAACAGAAUAAGCACCGGCUAACUUCGUGCCAGCAGCCGCGGUAAUACGAAGGGUGCAAGCGUUAAUCGGAAUUACUGGGCGUAAAGCGCGCGUAGGUGGUUUGGUAAGAUGGAUGUGAAAUCCCCGGGCUCAACCUGGGAACUGCAUCCAUAACUGCCUGACUAGAGUACGGUAGAGGGGUGGUGGAAUUUCCUGUGUAGCGGUGAAAUGCGUAGAUAUAGGAAGGAACACCAGUGGCGAAGGGCGACCACCUGGACUGAUACUGACACUGAGGUGCGAAAGC